GUUGGGGUAUGAUAUUGC
Molecule: non-coding RNA, 18 nt
Filed under: Arabidopsis thaliana (thale cress)
Lineage: Eukaryota; Viridiplantae; Streptophyta; Magnoliopsida; Brassicales; Brassicaceae
Source: RNAcentral